This is a long non-coding RNA of Triticum dicoccoides, 1706 nucleotides long. RefSeq lists it as uncharacterized. The transcript has 3 exons. NCBI's taxonomy places the organism in Eukaryota, Viridiplantae, Streptophyta, Magnoliopsida, Poales, Poaceae. The record is from RefSeq and is a predicted model, not a curated record.
AGUCAAGUCUGCAGUGAUUAGAAAUUUUGGAUGCUUUGGGGCAUUUUCAGAUGAUCUAAUGUGCCUAUUCAGUUUAUGAAAAAGAAUAAUGUGCCUAUUUAGACCAGUUAUAACAGGAAGGUGUAUUAAGUGUAAAUAUCAAGGAACCACAACUGUUUGGGCAUAGGUUCUAGAAAACACAAUUUUUAGGGAGAACGAAUCACUUAACUGCAACAAUUGGGGCGGAGACCUCGAGCUAGCUAUCCUGGUGCAGGGGUUGCAUCACUGCUUCAUCUCGUCCUUGACAGAACUACUCCACUUAGGCAACUAAAAACCCAUAAGGCACAUACUUGGUCUUUCUUCUACUUCAAGCACCUCUACUUUGAGCACGUUGCUCAGUCCAAGGCAAGUUCUUUGUCCAAUUUUCUGCUUACAAAUCCUGUCUAAUAUUUUGAACCAUUAUACUGUGUUAUGUGCAUGUGGGGGAGAGGACGUGAAUGGAUCUGAGGAGCAGCAAGUUUACAUGGGUGGAUGUCUGCAGUGGAGCUCUUAUUUGAGCCUGAUACACUAUACUCUGGUGGCUAGUACUCUGGUUUGAGUAAUGUUCAGGUGAAUAUCUUCGGAAAUAAGAAUGACUCAGGGAGGAUAAAGUGACAUGGAUGACAGAUUAGAAGAUGCAAUGGCAGCGGGCGUGAAGUAAGAAAAAGAGCAGAGAGUGUUAGAAGAAAUAAUGAGGUGAUAAGGUCUCUAAAUGUUCUUUAUCUCACGGAAGUUAUAAUGUGCUAUGUAGCCAAAAAUUUAACAAAUAUAUAUGUGCAUGUACUCUAGGUUGGCCAUUUGAAACAUGUUCAAGAACAUGUUAUUAGUCGGUAAUAAUUAUAGUUAAAUGUUUAUUAAUAAAUUUCAUUGCUUCAGUGUACUCUUUUUGAUGAACUCUGAUAGUGAUUAUUGCCUUUCCACCUACAGAUCAUUUUAGGACUUUAGAAUUUUGACAGAAGCAAUGUUGGGUCUGCUGUCAUAGAUGUACAUACAGUGUGGUACAUUUUUUUCAUGCUCUAUUACUGUUUAGCUCUUGCACAUAUGUGAAAUAAUGUUUAGUUCUGAUUUCGUUUGAUGGAUGACAAGUGAGACCUAAAUCAAACAAUCAUGGACAUGGGUUUCUUGAAACAUAUCUGAAUUUUAGUUCUGAGUUCUUCGCAUGUUACACACAUAGGGAAGUAGAAGAAAAUUUGGUUAUAUCAUGUGUUAGGGGAUGUUCUAUGUGCAACUAGCUAUUCCUAAAUUGGUCCAAGACUUCAUUUUCUUCAAGCAUGAAUAAGAAGAAACAAUUAAAAUGGUGAGUGGAGAGACUGAUGCUGUGUUGCAGCUGAUGCUACUCCUUUUCCUGUCCUCUGCUUUGGUGACCCUCCUCUACACGCUAUGCUGGUGGUGCUGCUGCCGAGCUGCCCCUCUUCUCCUCAACAUUAUAAACAAGGCCUUGAACACAUCUCCUGAAGGUUUGACAAGAUCUUGAAGGUGCUGGAGGUUUGGCAAGAUCUGCAAGGCGUCCAUACUUAAUUUUUCUGCUCAUUUUGGUGCUUAUUUUAGCACAUAAGCCGAUGUAUGCUCAUUUUGGAUGUGAAACACAUCUAGGAACAUGUCUUUUUUUCACUUUUGUGGCACAACAUCCUUAAUGUAUCAACAAACAUGUAUUUGGUCGCUUAUGAAUGAAAUGAAACUUAAGGUUU